AUACGUAGGGUGCAAGCGUUAAUCGGAAUUACUGGGCGUAAAGCGUGCGCAGGCGGUUUUGUAAGACAGUGGUGAAAUCCCCGGGCUCAACCUGGGAACUGCCAUUGUGACUGCAAGGCUGGAGUGCGGCAGAGGGGGAUGGAAUUCCGCGUGUAGCAGUGAAAUGCGUAGAUAUGCGGAGGAACACCGAUGGCGAAGGCAAUCCCCUGGGCCUGCACUGACGCUCAUGCACGAAAGCGUGGGGAGCAAACAGGAUUAGAUACCCUGGUAGUCCACGCCCUAAACGAUGUCAACUGGUUGUUGGGGAUUUAUUUUCUCAGUAACGAAGCUAACGCGCGAAGUUGACCGCCUGGGGAGUACGGCCGAAAGGUUAAAACUCAAAGGAAUUGACGGG
Molecule: ribosomal RNA, 394 nt
Filed under: uncultured bacterium
Lineage: Bacteria
Description: partial 16S ribosomal RNA
Rfam family: Bacterial small subunit ribosomal RNA
Source: RNAcentral